ACCUGCCCUCCAGCCACUGCCAAGGCAACCUCGCGCGUGAGGCGUCGGGCGACCGAGCGCGCGGGAAGGGCGAGCGCUAUACGCCGCGCGGCUGCCUCGCCCUCUCUCCUGGUGAUAGCCAUUUGGCGUCUUCUGUCUGCUCUCGGUGCCUGGCGAAGCCCGAGUUGGCCCUGAGGCGUCUGCACGGGGAGGCGAGGGCGAGCAUGUUUGUUGUUUACCAAGAAUUGGAAAAAUAAGGGCCCGGACUCUUCGGACUCUCUGUACGGUAUUGGGGUGUGGGAGCCACCUCCUCCCCUGAAGGUCCCAGGAUACUCGCUGCCCGCACCCUGCGGGCUCGGCCGGACAUUCCUCGGAAACAGCUGCGUCUGUGUGAGAAAUGAGCGGAUUACCUGAGGCGUGGAGGGGUUUAGAGACAGCAUUUUGCCAGUCCACGACACUGAAGCGGGGCAAACGUGGGAACUCCUUACUGCCAGAAAGGUGAGGGAAUGAGGAGAUGCAGCAAGCCUGCUGAAAAGGCGGCAGACAUGCUGCGGGGCCAGCAGCCACGGGACCAGCAGCCACGCAGUCUGCCUUCGCAGCGUAGCUUCAUUCAUUCAUGCGCGUAGCAAAUAAGUAUUCAAUGCUCACCCUAUGCCAUUGUUCUGGGCGUCAAUGAAGGGAGUAUAAACAGCACCUGCUCCCAUGGAUUUGGAAGGAAUCUUUGCUACAAUAGCUAAUGAAGAUUGACUUGUGCUUCCUCAAGCUACUCUAUAACUUGUAUGCCCAUUGAUUUUAAUUGCAUUUAAGAUUCUGCAGUGCACUUAGUGGAUGUGCAAACGUUUUAAACAUAAAAUAGAGGUCACAGCCUAUUGACCUCUGUUCCCGUUUGCUUCUUUGGAAAAGUUUUUAGUUUUGUUGCUAUCUUGGGAUCAAAAAUAGUGUCCCCUCUUUUCUUAAUGUGCUUAUAAAUUAAUAUAAGUUCCCUUUUAUUGAUUUUCCAUUUCAAACAUAAAUGUUAACCAACAAGUAACAGUUUACACAUAGAUGUCUGUAUGCUGCUCUUUCUAGUCACAUCCAUUUAGCUAUAACAUGAUGAAGUCUAAUUAAUUGAAGCUUCAAUAAAUGGAAGGACCAGCUUAAAGUAAAAUAAGCCUGUGAAAAAUCUUGGCACAAUUGAAAUUUCAUAAAUAUCUGUGAAAGAUAAUUAGGCAUCUUAAAGUGAAAAGUCUUCAUUAUGAACUUAUUAAUGAAGAUGGAUGUUUUUGAAGUUUGAAAGAAUUCUUGUCUUAAGGUAGGGGUGUCCCCAAGGAGAGGGUAAAUUAUUACCUGUCAAAGGAUAUGACAAGAAAGUACUUACUGGUGAAUUUUCUGUGUUCGAAAGCCUGGCUCUGUAGAACUAGAAAUUGGUAUUGUAAGCCCAACAGUGGGUUCAUUUUUUAGAGUAGUCUCAAAUUUAUAAAUCUCAAAAAAAAGGAACUGUGUAAACUAGAAUAACAAUUUACUGAUUUUCAAGUAAGAAAUACGACAUGCAUUUAAUUCAAACUCAUGCAAAUAUUUAUGAAGCACCUAUGUCCAGGACACUGUGCUAUGUGUUGAAAAUUUGGAGUUCAAAUUUAUCAAGAAAGAUAUAUAUUGAAAAAGUAAAAGUAGGAUGGGUGUUAAGAAAGAGGAAGUAUGGGAGCUUGUAGAAGCACGCACGAGGUUUAUAACCUAGGUUAGAUGGUCAGGAAGAUCUCCAAAAUGAUUUUAUCUUAAGGGAAUGAGAAAUUAUUAAAAAGGCUUUAAAUAGGAAAUUAGCAUGAUCAGAUUUGUCGGCUAGAAUAUUUGUGUAAUCGGAAAGGGUAAUGUUUCAAGAAGUGUAUUAAUGUCACUUUCUGGGUAUACAACUUAAUCAAUCCAAGGCACCUUUCUGCUGAGGAUUUGGAUUCUUGUAUAAAAAAUACAAAAGAAAUAUUUACUUUUUAACUUUCGAUAUUAAAUAUAGGAUUUUUUAAAUCGAGUUUUUAGGCUUCAAAUCGAGGCAUUGUCAAGACAUAAAAUGUAAAUUUGUUUAUGGUUCAACAUAUCAAGGCUAGGCCUGGUGGACCAAAUGAUAGGGUUUCUCCCAUAGUAAAGACAAGGUAUCUUAGUCCAGUAUGAAGGAUUUAGUCAGAGAUUGAUAUAAGGAAGGUGGUGGCUAUGAAGUAGGUAAAGUAGAAGAAAAUCCUAUUCUCUUUGGCUUGGAGAAUUACGGGAAAGGGGUAGAAGAGCUCAAGAAAGACACCAGAAACAUUUUUACUGUUCCCACCCUGAAGAUGUAGGGUGAGGGGUUGUGGCUUUAGAAAUAUCCAGAUUGGUGUGGGAAAACUCAAGGACAGAGAAAUUACUUUCCCAAUUCUCAGAUAUCUGGGAAGAUAUCAGGCUGAGCAGGAACCACAUUCCAGUAACCUUGAACAGGGCGGAGACAGGGUAGGCAUUGACUUUCCAGAGUGCUGUAAGUUUCUAUGUACUGUUGAGACUCAGAAAACAAUACUCCCCUCCUCC
Molecule: long non-coding RNA, 2502 nt
Organism: Homo sapiens (human)
Lineage: Eukaryota; Metazoa; Chordata; Mammalia; Primates; Hominidae
Gene: CCEPR
Product: cervical carcinoma expressed PCNA regulatory lncRNA
Exons: 1
Source: RefSeq, marked validated